RNAcentral lists this ribosomal RNA (117 nucleotides) under Lupinus angustifolius (narrow-leaved blue lupine). The record is from RNAcentral. Lineage: Eukaryota; Viridiplantae; Streptophyta; Magnoliopsida; Fabales; Fabaceae.
AGGUGCAAUCAUACCAGCACUAAUGCACUAGAUCCCAUCAGAACUUCACAAUUUUGCGUGCUUGAGCGAGAGUAGGACUAGGAUAGGUGACUAGGAUAGGCGCGCCUGGAGUAUUAU